This 20814-nucleotide long non-coding RNA is filed under the name Capsicum annuum. Its description in RNAcentral is "long non-coding RNA (CANN_LNC014383)". The record is from RNAcentral. Lineage: Eukaryota; Viridiplantae; Streptophyta; Magnoliopsida; Solanales; Solanaceae.
CUCAACGUUAAAAUUCAACAAAAACUAAGCACCCAUCACCUCAAUCACGAUAAAUCCGCCUGAUUUUGGGGCUUUUGUAGAGCCAACAGCUACAAUAGCUUUUUUAAAUUUUGAAAUUGAGAUUCUUGAAGAAGCCGUUGCAUCCCUUUUGCCUAUAAAAAGGGAGUUUUCUUCACAAUGAAGGCACCAAGAAAAAAAAGGAUUAUCAAAUUAGCAUUUAAAAUAUCGGUAUACUGUUACUCUCGCCCUCUUUCCAAAUUCAGUCGGAAGUUCGAGUUUGAGUUCGAGUUAUAGUUUCCGACGAAAAAGCGUUAGUUCGCUGUCCCCCACAAGGUAAACUCUAUCCCGUCUAAUUUUAUUAUAGUUAUAUUUCGAUGAUUCGCUGAUCGUUUUGAGUUUAUUAUUUUCAUUUGGCCGAUCAUAAGCAUAAACCUGAGAUGAAAUAGCAUCUGGCUAUCCGAUUUCGUUCAUCGUCUAAUGUUUAUGGAAUAUCUUAUUUCGUGAUUUGAUUUGGAUAUUUUAAAAUUGAAAGUCUCGAUUGAAGUAGACUGCUUUAUCUUGGUUGGCUGUGAAUGCAUAUUUGAAGCACUUAUGUAUCGCUUAGUUAUUUGGGUUGUUAACUGUUGGUUUUGAAGAUAAAAUAUGUGAAAUAAUAAUUUGUUUUGGCUUUCUGUUUCAUUUAACUUGGUCACUGCGUGGGGUUUGUUUUUGCCUUUAAAUAUGUAAUAAUAUGUAGAGUAAACAAUAUAGUUUGGAAAAGUUGUGUCUGGCUGAAAAUAAAGAGUAUGUCGAUCUACAAUGUAAAAUUCAUCUUGUUAUCUCGUAUCUAUCUCUUUCUAGCCCGUCUGUUCUUGUUCUGUGAAUACGUGUUUCUCUUCUUGUUUCUUUGUUUUCAUUGUUUGUUCUCGGUAAAGUAAAGCAACAACAAUGACAUUAAUUUCUAGUAUUCUAUAUUUGUAAUUCUGCACUUAUGUUUUACCUUAGUGUAGUUAAUAUUUCUAGUGUCAUAGUUGAAGACAUUCUAUGAUAUACUAACUUGUUGUCAGGUACUUUUUCCCUUGCCUUAUCUAUUCUUUAAUGUAUAUUUACACUUUUAUAUCUAUAAUAGCAGAAAAACAUUAAUCAAGUUGUGGGAAAUUUUAUUUGUCUGGAUAAGCUGUAGACAUCUAUAUAGGACAAUAUGUACCUUUUGUGUUUCCUUGUUAUUUUUGUGGAGUGAGCUCUAAAAGGAGUAUGUGGAUCGUCCCGUCUUGCUUUUUUCGUCACUCCUCCUGUCUCGUUUUAUAUCAUACGAGCUGCUUACAUGCGGAUAUGUGAUGUAUGUGGUUAUUUGAGAAUAUGGCUUAAAUCACUAUCUGAAUAAUAUAGAAUGAGAAGGACUUAUAAGAGCGAUCAAAUACAUGUUCUUGAGUUCAUUGUUUCCUUUGGUUUCAUAACGUGAAUAUGGAUGUAGUAAUUUAAGCAUCAAAUAUUUGUGAGUUUGUAUUGUUUCAUGACCACUGUCCAUCUAGAUAUUCUAUUAUGUGUUUCAAUAUUGGGAAAAGUUCAAACCAUCCAAUAAGUGUAGCUCAAAGGUUUAAUGGUAAAGUAGUUCUAGGCAGAAACGAUGGAGCGUCGAAGUGUGGUUGUUUCUUGUUGUAGCCGAGCACGUAUACUUUCAGUUGUCGCAGAUAAUUCUUUUGUGAACUUCGUUAGCCUGGCCGAAUCAGUAGCUCUUGAGCCAAUUGAUGGCUUUUGGACUUCGUUUGACGUGUUUUCUGAAUUUAACGUCGAUGAUUUUUUCUAGUUAGUAGAUGAGCUAGCAUUCAGAUUGUUUCUACUUUGCAGUUCACCCUCAAUAGAUCCAUCUGACUGUUGGUUUGGUCCCGUCUCACUAUCUCUUAGACUUCCAUGAUUAUCUGGAGACCUCAUGGUUGAGUUGUCCGGUGGGUCUGACCUCCGUGUAAUCAGGACUUUGCUAGGGAAACUGCAUCCCUUUAGCACCCUUGGAACAUUUCUGAGAGUUUGGUUGAAUCUGGAACCUAUAGUAGCAUUCUUUCAAUCUUCCUCGUUGCAUAUUAGAGUAACACUUCAAUCAAUUCUUUAGUAUUUUUAGAUGGUGUAUGAGUAUAUCUCAUUUGAUGUUGAUGUCUAUUCCCUUACGAAUAGAAUUUACGAAAACUAUGUGGUCUCGUUUCUCCUUUUCGUUUAGAUACUUUGUAGUGUCAUGAUCAAAUAUGCAAGACACGAAGAAAUUUUCAUUUGCGUGAACAUUUUAUUUGCACAAGUUGUUUGUUCUGUUGCAAACUAAUUACCCUAUGUUGUCUUAUUUUGUUCGUCUCAAGAUGAAACGAUUUUAAUGAUGCCCUCAAAGCUGUCCCUUUUUUGCGGGAACAUUUUUCCAUAACAAUUGGAAAUUUGGUCUGUCUUGAGGUGUAGUUACCAGAAGUUCUUUUUAAAGAAAAGAAAUGCCUUAUCUUUUCCUAUAAUGUUUGAUCAUGUAUUCAUCGGCAAAUUCUCAUCAACUAGUUGUUCUAAAGUUAUUUCCUUGUUGCCAUGGACUACAUACACUCUUCUUAUUUUUUAGAAAACUCAAGCUAUGUAAAUUGCGAAAAUGUUUGGCUUACAUGUUUAUAAGAUGCUAGUUGCUUUAUCUUAUCGUGAAAGGGGUUUUCAAGGACUUAAUAUAUUUACAGACGUUUGGUUGCGCGCCAUGAAAUUUGAAUUUUUCUCACUUGGACACUUGAAUACGACGUCAUGUUGGUAUUAUUUUCAGAUAGUUAUUUAUUUAACAAGAUGUUAACCGCUAACUUAGCAUAAAAACAGGUUAUACGAGCCUUAAGUCUUGAAAAGUAUUUCACCACGUGUUGAAGUUCUCUGUUUUGUUCAAUUUCCUAAGAGUAUUAACCUGAGUGUUAAAAAUGCUUACUGAAGCUUGUGAAAUCAACGUAAAGGUAGUAUUAGCCUAGUGUUGCCCCCUUCUUUUAGAGAAAUGUUGAAAAGGCAUAUUAUGUAUAUUUCUAGUGGUUGCCUUAGUGGUUGGACUACUAGAUAAAGUUAGCCUAUUUAUCCAAAACAAUGUAGAUGUGAUAUUUAGUGUGGUAGAAUCUUUCUUUGUGCGAUGUGGUGCUCAUACGCCACUCUUAUGUCCUUGCACUUUUACUGGUUUAUUGUUGUUAGUCGUAAAAUUUAGUUUCUACGAACUUUUCUUUAUUAAAAUAUUUUGUUAAUGUGAUCAUAUUAUGUUAUUUAGUUAGUCAAUCAGUCACUAAUCCUUAUCUUUUUUCUUUGCUUCAUGGGAACUCAAGAGCGCGUUUGGAGUCUCACGGCUUGACUCCAUCACUGUCCAAAUCAGAGAAGCGACAUAACAGAUGCAUUGCUUAUCUUCGUCUAGCAGUCUAGUUCCUCAUUCCCUUUUUCUUCAAGAUUUAGUUUUCUUCUGUAGACAAUCAUUAUUAUUUUUGUUCUACAUCUCUUUUACAUUAUUAUUUGUGUUUUGUAUGUUCUUGUUUGAAUUAAUGUGAAUCUUUAAUGUGCUAGCAAAUUUAUUUGUUUCCUCUUUGCCGCUUAGAUAUUAAAUUAGCAUAAUCACUAGGUUUCGGUAUGUAAUUUAUAUGUUAAAAGGCUGAAAUUUGAUAGGUUUAAAAUGUAUCUUUUAGAAUAAAUUGCCUUAUCUUUAGAAUUAAAUUAGUUUCUCAUUAGUUACUAGUUUCAAAUUAAUAAAAUAUAGGUUUUCAUAGUAGGCGAAUUUACCAUCGCUAGGCUCGGGAAUUAGUCUCAAUUAUUUUAGAUAUGGUAAAUCAAUUUCAUUGUCAUCAAUCUUAAAUAAAAAUUAUAAUUUUGCCAAUUUGUUGUUUCCACAAGGACUUUUUUGGGAUUUCAAAUAACAAAAAAGAUUUUUUUUUUUAUUACAUGAGUCAUUCAUAAUAAAAAUAAAUUCUCAAGUUAUUUUAAACUUAAACAACUAUAUUUUUAGCUACUCAUUUAGUGUGUAGGAUAAUUAACUAUUAGAUGAAGAAGAAGAGCAAAAGAGUCAUUCUCCUUAGAAUACAACAACAACAACAACAGACCCAGUGUAUUCCCACCUAGUGGGGUCUGGGGGGUAAGAUGUACGCAGUCCAUACCUCUACCUCUGAUAAAGUAGACAGGCUGUUUUCGAAAGACCCCCAGUUCAAGGCACGAGAUACCACACAAACACAUAGUAAAGCACAGAAGCAGAUUACAUAACAUAAAUACGGCACCCAUAAGUAAUAUAAAACAGAGGGAAGCAGAGGAAAGCACACAGAUUCGUAAUAAAACAUGUAACACGGAACACAGAAUCAUAACAGAAAUAAAACCCCCACCAAGUAAUCGCUACACUAGCGACCCAAACUGGCCCUAAUCCUCUGCCGUAAUUCGCAUCUUCUAGACCUUCCUAUCUAGGGUCAUGUCCUCGGUGAGCUGUAACUGUUCCAUGUCCCGCCUAAUCACCUCACCCCAGUACUUCUUCGGUCUACCCCUUCCCCGUCUAAAACCAUCCAACGCUAGCCUCUCACACCUACGGACCGGGGCAUCCAUGCCCCUCCUCUUCACGUGUCCGAACCAUCUCAAUCGUGCUUCCCGCAUCUUACACUCCACUGAAGUCACACCAACCUUCUCCCGGAUAGUCUCAUUCCGAACUCUAUCCCCUCGAGUCAGUCCACACAUCCAGCGCAACAUCCGCAUUUCUGCCACCUUCAUUCUUUGGGUGUGGGAGUUCUUAACUGGCCAACACUCCGCUCCAUACAGCAAGGCCGGACGGACUACCACCCUAUAGAAUUUGCCUUUAAGCUUGGGCGGCACCUUCUUAUCACACAGCACCCCCGAUGCGAGUUUCCACUUCAUCCAUCCCGCCCCAAUACGGUGCGAGACAUCCUCGUCAAUCUCACCGUUACUCUGGAUCACGGACCCGAGAUACUUGAACUUAUCCCUCUUCCCUACCUCCUGUGCUUUCUUGCUUCUGCUCACCCUGAACCCUUUAGACUCAAGAGUUUGCCUCCACACCUCUAACUUGUCAUUCACACCCCCUCGAGUCUCAUCUAUCAGAACUACAUCGUCUGCAAAAAGCAUACACCACGGCACCUCCCCUUGUGAAAUCAUUUGAAAUAAUUUCAUCAUUUGUUAAAAGGUUAUAUGAAAAAAAUCAUUUUAGUAUUAGUUUGACGAGUAGAUUUUAUGGCGAGGAUGUUCCAAAAUUUUUCUAAUCGUUUUCUUAUAAAUAACUAACGCAUGUUACGUUUAGUAAGACAUGUAUAUCUCUUAAACUUGGCCUACAUCUUAUCUUAAUUUAAUAUUUGAUUUUCUUAUCUAAUCUAAGUUUGGUCGGUAAACCGUAGUUAGCGGAUCCUUUAGGGUGCCUAAUCCCUUCCCUUUAGGAUAACUAGAACCCUUACCUAGAAUCGUUUAGGUUAAGUAGACGUUAAAAUGAAGUCUUUAAUUGCUUUAAUCAUAGUGUAUAAUAGGUGUCCUAAUUCACCGUAGAACUAAUUAGGUGGCGACUUUCUUAAUUUUAUUAGAAGUUUUUCAAUAUGUCGUACCUCGGUUUGACCCGUGUUAAAAUGGGGUAUAACAACUUGGCGACUUCACUGGGGAAUACUUAUGUUCUUAACCAUAACAAACUUAAGUUAGUAAUUAAGUCUUUUUAUUUUGUUAUUUGUUUCACCCUAAUUGUCUUCUUUUUUCAUGUUUGUAUGGCGUAAAUUAUUUAUUUGCUAUUGUUUUGUAUAAAUUGCUUACUUGUUUACUGCUUUGUAAAUUGGCAUUCCGUUCAUAUUUCCUCCACUUUAGAAAAUUGACACACACACAUUGUGCAUGCAGAUUGUACAUUGUACUUUCCCAAAAUUCUUUCAAGUCACCAAUUUUAGAGAGUCGGCGCAUACGUAGGGUGAGCGAGAGUUUUAUUGUCGUGGGACCACGUGCUUUCUCAUGUAGGAAAUCCAAGUCCGUGUUUACCCAAAUCUUAGAAAAACUUAAGAUAGAGUGUUGCCACCCUUGAUUUAGGCCAUGCAUAUGCUUAAGCCGUAGGUUGUUUGACCCAUGGUGUAUUCCACGAAUUUAGGAAACGCUUUUAUGUCAAAAGGGUUCACAACCCGACGUCGACCUUCAUAUGAGUUUGGAAAAGCAUUUGCUUAUGUUGUCUUCUUGUAGGUUGCUAGAAUAGAUAACUUACCUAAUUCUGCCAACACCCAAAUGAUUGUGUGUGUACCACUUAAGCUAAGGAGAUGGUGGGAGAACAUCAAGAUGGAGCAUGGGUUCGAGAUUAGGAGAACUUUGGGUUUCUUGACAUCAUUGAUCUACAUCCUUUCUGACAGACAUAUAGUCAAGGCAUUGCUCAAGUUCUGGGAUUCCAAGUAUCAAGGAUGGGGUAUGAUCUUACCUCGCAAACAGUUAGGAACGAAAUUCUUGCACCUUCUUGGGCUCAAAAACAACCUCAAGCUUGCAUGUUUGGAUCGUGAUUGGAUUUCUCUUAACUACUUGUAUGAAAUAUUUGGUCGCAAGGAUGGUCACAAGGUCUUUAGCAGGGAAUUCUCUUGUUCUACUGAGAGUUGGAGAAAGAAACGUCAUAUCGCUUUUGCCAUUGCUUUACUAGGUAUUCUGGUUUUUCCUUUGGAGCAUGGAAGGAUUGACACUUUCCUUAGUUUCGUGGUUCGAGAUCUCUUUCGUGGGGUUGAAAAUGCUAAAGUUAUACACUGGUUUCGAUGAUUGUAGCAGAAAUGACGAGAGAACUGUCCAAAUGUGCCAGAGAAAGAAGGUUCUUUGAAGGAUGCAAUCUCCUUCUUCAGAUUUGGGCUGUAGAACAUUUCUAUAGACGUAACGCCAUGGUCGACAUACUCUUUAGCAGACCUAAUAGGAUCGACUCUCAUCUACAAAUGAUGGCAAAAUUUGUAGCUCCUGUGGGUACACAUGAUUGGUAUGCAUUCAUAAGGGUGCUCACGGGCAAUCAAAUCCAAUGGAGGUACCCAUGGUUGUCACCUCGCGCUGCCGUCAUCAGGGGUCGUACGACAUACUAUAUUGAACUUAUUGGCUUGAAAGGUCUUCAACCAUGUGCUCCCUCAUGAGUGCUUCGAAAAGUUGGACAUCAAGUCAUUAUUCCACUUUGUUUGGAUAUGAGCAGAUUUGAGGUUGAUUUCGGGCCACUCUUUGAGAUUCCUAGAACAAUGGAGUUGCUUCGAGAAUGGAGAAAUUUGAUGACAAUACAUGUGCUUAACGAGCAAGUUUACUAUACUCCAGAGUAUUAUGUGUGGUUAUCAGUAGCAGCUAUGGAGGAUGCAGGCUUUAACCGUCAAGGACAAGCCGUUGGGUAUGAAGAUCUUGAAGAAACAGAACGGGCACAUGGUAUCCUGAUCAACCACUUUGUCAUCCCACCUAAAAUAUGGGAACAAGUCAUUCCCGAAUCUUUGGCACACUUUGGAGCAUGAGGACUUAGUUUAGUGCCUAGAAUUUCUUUUAUCAUGUACUUUCUUUAUGUUUUGGCUAGGAUUUUUGUUUUAUUAUCAUGUACUCUCUUUAUGUUUUUGAAAUCAAUGUAAUGGUCUAAUGAUGACAUUUAAAUGAAGUAGUUUGUUUCUCAUUUUCUAACUCCAAACUCGAGCAAUGUCAUUAAUUAAGAUCAAUUUUCAUUAUCCCAAUUAUUUGGCGUAUAGGCCCACCUCUUGGCGUAAAAGAGGUCCCAUGCAUAAUAUGAUGCGUUUUUUAUUGUUGAAAUUUCUUUUUAUUAUGUGCUUUAUUUGCAACAUGAUGCACGUUUUUCUUACAUAGUUUGCUUAAUUGCAAGUUAUUUUAUGCAUACAAAUUAUUUGCCUAUUUUCUCUUGAAGGUUUUCUUUCCUCUAAUUUAUUCCCCCAAAGGUUGAUUUGUGUUGACUAUGAACUGGCUGAUCACCCAUACUUUAUGAGAUCAAAAGCAUGAGCAAACGCCAAUAUGACUGAUUCAUCAUGUCCUUCAUGAUGAACAUAUAGCUCAUAUGAUGCAACAAAUGGCCGACAUACAAAGUGAAAUCGAUCGACUUCGAAACCUCACCAAACUGUCCAUUAGCAUGAAUACUCCACUUCCUGAACAUGGAACAAAUACCACUAUUCCAUCUUCUUUUCCUCCUAUUUAUCCUCCCAUCCCUAACAUUUCCCACCAAAUCCAUUAGUCCACCAAAACAACCGUAUUCCUACCAAAUCUCCCGUUAACCCAUAAGAAAACAACUCGCAACAAUUCGACUCGUAACAAACAAAAACCCAUUACCCUUCACUACUCCAUAUGUUCCUCAAGCUCCUAACCAAACUUCAUUUGCCCAAGCUCCACAUACCCAAAAUACCUCACUUACCCAAACUACCCAGUUGUCCAAAACCACCAAGUGGCCCCACAUAUAUUGGUGGCACAUGCUGCAAUUCCUAACACGCAAUAUGUGCCACUAGUAUAUGUAGCGGGAGCUCAACCUUUCACUAUUCCAAUGCCGAAGUUGGUCCAAAUGAAGAGAUGGAAAAGGAAGUAAGGUCAAAAACAUAUAAAAAUGUAGCAAAGGAGAUUCACAGUUUAAAGAAAGCAUUCAUAAGCAUCCAACAAUAGGAAGGAUGUGAAGGACUUGAGUAUGAAGAUUUAUAUGUUCAUCCAGAUGUUGAUUUACCGAUAGGGUAUAAGGUGCCAAAAUUUGAUAUGUUUGAUGGAAGAGGGAAUCCUCGAGCUCAUUUAAGGCCGUAUUGUGACAAGCUAGUGGGAGUAGGGAAAAAGGAGGCCAUUAGAAUGAAGCUGUUCAUAAGGAGUUUGACUGGAGAAGCUCUAGAUUUGUACACGAGCCAAAACCCACAUAAAUGGCAUAGUUGGAAUGCCUUGGCACAAGAAUUUAUGGAUAGGUUCAGGUUUAGCACUGAAGUCAUCCCAGAUUGAUUCCACUUGAUGAAGAUGGAGAAGAAAUCAACAGAGUCCUUCAAAGAAUAUGCCAUGCGGUGGAGAUCAGACGCCGCGAAAGCUCAACCUCCUAUGGAGGAAAGUGAAAUGACUUCUCUUUUUGUGCAGUCUCAAAAAGAUGCGACGUAUUAUGACUAGUUGAUAAGCGUGGUUGCACAGAGAACUUCUGAGGUUGUUAGAAUAGGAGAAUUUGUUGAAGAAGGCACCAAGACGGGGAGAAUCACUAAUCUGGCAGCUUUACAAGCGACAAGUAAGGCAAUGCAAUCUGAUCCAACUAGGGGAGCGAACAAAAAGCUGCGACGUAUGGCGGAAAGUGAAAUGACUUCUCUUUUUGUGCAGUCUCAAAAAGAUGCGACGUAUUAUGACAAGUUGAUAAGCGUGGUUGCAUAGAGAACUUCUGAGGUUGUUAGUAUAGGAGAGUUUGUUGAAGAAGGCACCAAGACGGGGAGAAUCACUAAUCUGGCAGCUUUACAAGCGACAAGUAAGGCAAUGCAAUCUGAUCCAACUAGGGGAGCGAACAAAAAGAAGAAGGAUGGAGUUUCUGCAGUCAUAACCAUUCAGGAGAGGACCAAACCAAAUGUUAACAUACCAAAAUCCACUACCCUAUCCCUCCUAUUAUGACCAAUAUACCCAAGCUCCUCACCCGUAUUACCAACAUUUUACAUGCCCCAAAUCUAGUUUAUGCCACUCAGCCAAUAUAUUAUCCACCAUGAGCACAAACCUAUCAAAACCCACCACAAUAUCAACCCACCUAUCCUCCUCAAACCCACUACCAACCAUAAAAAUCGUCCUUCAAAUUCACCCAGUCCUCGUUCGAACUAUGAAAAAAGGCCAACCAAAACCUAUACACCUCUAGUUGAACCCUUAUUCCAACUGUAUGAAAGAAUGAGAACUGCAGGAGUACUCCAGCCGAUCUAAGGUAGAAUUCCCAAUCCCCUUCCUGGAUGGUAUGAUGGGACAAAGCAUUGUGCUUACCACUCUAGGGUUGCUGGGCAUGACACUGAGAAUUGUCUUACUCUCAAGGAUAAGAUUGAGGCGCUAAUCAAAGAAGGAGUUAUUCAGCUCAAAGGAGCUCCCCCCAAUGUGAACAACAAUCUCUUGCCAAAUCAUGGGGAUGCCCAUGUGAACAUGAUCACCAUUGAUGAAGAAUGUAAUUUGGAAGGGACUAUUGUAUCAGUCGGUGAUAAAGAAAAAAUGGAAACGUCAACUUUUGUCGCACCUGUAAUUACAGUCCAGAUACGAGCGAUACGAGCGCCAAUUGAAGUAGAAGUUGAUGUUCCCAAACCUACGAUCACAGCCUUAGUUACUCGAACACCUUUAAAUACUAAGGUAGUUCCUUGGAAUUACUCAACUGAUGCAAAGGACAAAGGAAAAGGAAAGUUCAUUUUAGAAGCUGCUGUUGCAGGAAUGACAAGAUCUGGACAUUGCUAUGCCCUUGAAGGAGUUGCGCAAGUAGUGUUUAAUAAGGAGAAUAGUCUGAAGAAAGUCCUGAUAGAGGCCGAGGUAGAGGAUUUUUGGAGGAAAAUGCCGACUAAGGAAUAUUCUGUUGUGGAGCAGCUGAAGAAGACUUCUGCCCAAAUCUCCUUGUUGUCAUUAUUGUUGAAUUCUUCAACUCAUAGGAGUGCUCUGGUAAAGGUGCUGAAUGAAGCUUAUGUGCCAACUGAGAUGACUAGCGAGAACCUUUCAGCUCUGGUAGGACAAGUCUUGGAAGCUAAUAUAGUCUCUUUUCAUGAAGAUGAGUUGCCGCCCGAAGGCCUGGGGCAUAAUAGAGCAUUAAACAUCACUGUCAGGUGUAAGGAUAAGUUUGUUUCUAAAUUUCUCAUUGACAAUGACUCAACUGUUAAUAUUUGUCCUUUUACUACCCUCCGAGCUUUGGAAAUUGACAUUGGGAAAGUGCACAAAAGUAAUGUAAAGGUUAAAGGUUUUAAUGGGACUCAAAGAGGAGUUAUUGGAGAAAUUGAUUUAUCACUACAAAUUGGACCUGUGGAGUUUACAGUAGAAUUCCAAGUGUUGGACAUUUCUGCUAGUUACAAUUUGUUGCUCGAAAGACCAUGGAUUUAUAGUGUUGGUGCAGUCCCUUCUACCCUGCAUCAGACUUUGAAGUUUGUCUGGGAUUAUCAUGAGAUUGUGAUUCAUGGAGAGAAGAAUAGUUCUAUCUACCAACAGAACUCAGUCCCUACUAUUGAACGAGUAGAACACCUGGACGGAUCCAUUUUUCAUGUUAAAUGGACCAUGUGUAUUGCUAAGGUAGAAAGGUUAAAGUUACCACGGGCCCUUAUGACGGUGGCCUUGGAAAUGUUGAAGAAUGGUUUUGUGCCUGGUCAAGGUCUUGGCAUGAACUUAGAUGGAAUACUAGAGCCAAUUCAAUUGUAUGAGCCUACUCCUGAAGAAGUCUCAUCGGCUAAUCUCAAAAGGAAAGAUGACAUUCUCCUGCCAAAGCCUAUCCUAUUCCUAGAUCAGUCAUUUUCCAAAGCAUUUGUUGCCCAAAUAUCAGAAGAAGAUGCUGAAGAAGACCUCAUUGAAGGAGUCAAAAACUUGUUCAUUACUGAAGAAGAAGAAGAUGCUGAAGAAGACCUUGUUGGAGGAGUCAAAAACUUGUUCAUUACUGAAGAAGAAGCUGAGUGCAAUAUGAUUUUGGAGGAUUGCACGAGACCCUGACUAUUUGGGAUACUGAGCCUGGAGAUGCUUGCUUUGAACAAUUGGACUUGUACCCCAUCCCUGGUUCUUCGGGAAUCUUAGUAGAUAAUUGUAUGAGUAUUUACAACACGAUUCUAAAUUGAGGCCUAAAUCAUCUUUAUGAAUUUAUGUGUUUUGCCUCCACUUUUUGAAAGCUUAAAUGCCAAAUCCAAAUGAUGUUUUGCUAUUUUUAUUUCAAAUCGUCUUCAUUAAUUUAUUUCCUCUUUUUUCCUUUUUCAGCAAGCAAAGUAACAAAUCUGCCAAUACUAUGAAUGUGACACAUAUAAUGAAACAAGCGAAAUAAUUCCAAAUAGCGAACACGAUUUUGUAUAAUAUGAAGAAGAUCUGAAGAGUUGACUAAAGAAUUUGAACAUUUUGAAAAUAAGGCAAAACCAAAUUUGGAUAAAACUGAGACAAUAAACUUGGGGGAUGCGGAACUCAUCAGAGAAACAAGGAUUAGCGUUCAUUUGACUCCAUCCCAAAGGAAUGAAUUGAUUGGUCUUUUGAAGCAAUAUAUAGAUGUGUUUGCAUGGUCCUAUGAUGAUAUGUCGGGUUUAAGCACAAACAUUGUUUCUCAUAGGUUGCCAACUGAUCCAUCUUGUCCUCCUGUAAAGCAAAAACCAAAAAAGAUGAAGCCUAAUUUAAGUUUGAAAGUCAGGGAGGAAAUGUCCAAGCAAUUCGAUGCCAACGUCAUUCGAGUUACGAAGUAUCCCACUUGGUUGGCCAACAUUGUACCCGUGCUAAAAAAAAUGGAAAAAUCAGAGUAUGCGUGGAUUAUUGGGAUUUCAACAAGGCUAGCCCAAAGGGUGAUUUCCCUCUACCAAAUAUUCACAUACUCUCAUUGAUUGCUUCGUAGGUUACCAUCAGAUCCUGAUGAACGAGGAAGAUGCCGAGAAAACUGCAUUCAUCACACCUUGGGGAGUAUAUUGUUAUCGAGUGAUGCCUUUUGGACCCUAGAACGCAGGGGAAACUUAUGUGAGGGCCAUGACUUCCAUUUUUCACGACAUGACCUACAAGGAGAUUGAAUUCUAUGUUGAUGAUGUCAUUAUCAAGUCGCGAAAGAGCUUAGAUCAUUUGAAAGAUUUGAGAAAGUUCUUUGACAGGUUGAGACGGUACGAUCUGAAAUUGAAUCCUGCAAAAUGUGCAUUUGGUGUCCCCGCUGGAAAGCUAUUUGGUUUCAUCGUGAGUAGGGAAGGCAUAGAAUUGGAUCCUUUAAAAAUAAAAGCUAUCUAAGACUUGCUUUCUCCAAGGAGUCAAAAGGAUAGGAUGAGUUUCCUAGGUCGACUCAAUUACAUCAACUGAUUUAUCGCACAAUCCACGGUUAUUUGUGAACCAAUAUUUAAGUUAUUGAGAAAGGAUGCAGCUACAAAGUGGAUAGAAGAUUGCCAACAAGCUUUUGACAUAAUCAAGGAUUAAUUUGUCUAAUCCAUCCAUUUUGGUGCCUCCAGAACCCGGAAGGCCAUUGUUGCUAUAUUUGUCUGUGUCAGAAAAUGCAUUUAGGUGUGUUUUAGGAUAACAUGAUGAAACUGAAAAGAAGGAACAAGCCAUAUAUUAUUUGAGCAAGAAGUUCACGCUUUCUGAAGCUCGGUAUACAUUAUUGGAGCGUACAUGUUAUGCCUCGACUUGGAUUGCACAAAAGUUAAGGCAUUACAUGUGCGCGUAUACCACUUUUCUUAUCUCCAGAAUGGAUUCGCUCAAGUAAAUCUUUCAGAAGACCAUGCCUACCGAAAAGCUAGCAAAGUGGUAGAUUUUGUUAAGUGAAUUUAACAUUAUUUAUGUUACUCAAAAGGCGGUGAAGGACAAGCUUUAGCUGACCAUCUUGUUGAAAACCCUAUAGAUGAAGAGUACAGGUCUCUUAAAACUUAUUUACCGGAUGAAGUUCUAAUUAUUGAUGAAGAAGAUAUUUCAUAAGCAUAUCCAGGUUGGAGAAUGUUCUUUGAUGGGGCUGCAAACUUCAAAGGAGUUGGUAUUGGGGUAGUACUAAUUUUGGAGUCGGGCCAACAUUAUCUGAUCUCAGCAAAGCUCAGAUUUCCGUGCACUAACAAUAUGGCAGGAUACGAGGCUUUCAUUCUUGGUCUUUGAAUGGUUGCUGAUAUGAACAUACAGGAACUGUUGGUUAUAAAAGAUUCAAAUUUAGUGGUUCAUCAAGUACAAGGAGAAUGGUGUGUCAAGAACGUGAAGCUACUUCCAUAUCUGGAGUGUGUGAAAGAGUAGCUCAAGAAGUUCAUUAAGGUUGAAUUUAAACAUGUCCCAAGAACUCAAAAUGAGUUAACAGAUGCAUUGGCAACUCUGUCCUCUAUGAUUCAACAUCUAGACAAGAAUUUCAUAGAUCCUAUCAAGGUGAAUAUACAAGACGAACGAUAUACUGUUUUCAUGUAGAUGCAGAACCAAACGGCAAACCCUGGUACUACGACAUCAAAAGGUAUCUCAAGGAAGGAGACUAUCCAGAAGGCAUAACCAGUAUUCAAAAGAGAACACUCCGGAGAUUGGCAAAUCACUUCUUCCUAAGUGGAGAUAUCCUUUAUAGGAGGACUCCAGAUUUAGAAUCGUUAAGGUGUGUCGACGCUCAAGAGGCUACCAAGUUAGUUGAAGAGAUACAUGGGGGCAUGUGUGGGCCGCAUAUGAAUGGUUUUAUUUUGGAAAAGAAGAUUCUUCAGGCUGGCUAUUUCUGGAUGACUAUAGAAACAGAUUGCAUUCACUUUGUGUGAAAAUGUCAUCAAUGUCAGAUUCAUGGUGACUUGAUUCUUGUUCCACCAAAUGAACUCAAUGUGACGAGUUCUCCUUGGUCGUUUGUAGCUUGGGGCAUAGGUGUCAUCAGUACUAUUGAGCCAUCUGCAUUAAAUGGACAUAGGUUUAUUUUGGUAGCUAUUGAUUAUUUCACCAAAUGGGUAGAAACCUCUUCAUACAAGUCUGUAACAAAGAAGUUGGUGACAAACUUUGUUCGCAAUAACAUUAUUUGUCGAUUCGGAGUUCCGAAAUUAGUUAUAACAGAUAAUGGAGCUAAUCUCAAUAAUGGCUUGAUGCGUGAGAUAUGUCAGAAGUUUAAGAUUACUCAUCGUAAUUCCAUCCCUUACCGUCCUCAGAUGAAUGGAGCAGUUGAGGCCGCCAACAAGAACAUCAAGUGAAUAUUGCGGAAGAUGAUUAAUAACUAUAAGCAUUGGCACGAGAAUUUUUCGUUUGCCCUCUUUGGCUAUCGCAUCACUAUUAGGACAUCUACUGGAGCAAUACCUUAUCUGUUGGUUUAUGGAACAGAAGCAGUGUUACCCGCAGAAGUAGAGAUACCAUCUUUGAGAAUCAUUUAGGAAGCUGAGUUGAGCGAUGCCCAAUAGAUUCAAAACCGGUAUGAACAAUUAAUGUUAGUUGAUGAAAAAAGGAUGAACGCAAUUUGUCAUGGGCAGCUUUAUCAGAAUAGAAUGGCCAAAGCUUUCAAUAAGAAGGUACGAUCGAGACAAUUCAAGCCAGGACAAUUAGUGAAGCGCAUAUUUUCGCACCAAAAUGAGGCUAAAGUGUUGAAGCGCAUAUUUUCGCACCAAAAUGAGGCUAAAGGAAAGUUUGCACCCAACUGGCAAGGAACUUACAUCGUUCAUCGAGUACUGACAGGUGGAGCAUUGGUCCUAGCGAAAAUGGAUGGUGAAGUGUGGCCGAAAGCCAUCAAUGCAGAUGCUGUUAAGAGAUACUAUGUUUAGAAGUCUUUUUCUCAUGUGAUGUUCCUUUCGCUAUGUAAUGAAACUAUGAAUGACCUAAUUCCCUUGGGGGAAUACGUAAGAAACCCACGUCGGGUUUGGUCUUUUAAGUAGAAAUUUCCCAAAAAAUCCCUCUUUACUGAUAAUGCGAACUACGGUUGACCUGACUUCCUUGGCGGAUACGUAGGUGGUCCACAUCAGCCUCGGUCACAUUAGAAGAAAAAUCAUUUCCCCCCUUUCUAUUUCAUAUGUAAUGAACUAUGUUCGGCCUGAUUCCCGUGGGAUACGUAGGCAACCCACGGAGGGUUUUGCCUCUUAGUUUUAAUUCUCUUAAAUAUAUUUUAUGAACUACGCUUGGCCUGAUUCCCUUGGCGAGAUACGUAGGCAACCUAUACAAGGCUCGGUCUCAUCAUCUUAGAACGUCAACAUCUUUCUAGUCAAAGCUGGGACAGCUUUUAAAGGGGCUUUAUUUCGAGAAAUGAUUGAGAAGACUUCAAGAGAUACCGAAGAGUGUGGGUUCAACCAAGUAGUUGAAAAAUGGACAUUCGCUUUGGACCAAGUAGUUGAAAAAUGGACAUUCGCUUUGGAUAACGGACGUUUGCAUUGUUUCACAACAUGUCACAGUUCAAAGUUUGGCAGAAUUCCUUUUACCACUAUGCAUAUUUGCAUAUUUUUAUUUAUCAAGUUAUUUGUCACUCUUAUCUUUAACUUUAAAUAGUUUUCAAUCAAAUAUUUUCUUAUUAUCCAUUGGCCCAAGAUAUGGGAUAAAUGGGGUAUGAGUCCAAACAAAGCUGGAAGCACGAAGUAUCAAGAGCCAGACCUUCAAAAGUCAACACAAAUCAACCAACCCCCAAACUUACAAAUUUUCUUCAACCAACCCCCAAACUUACAAAUUUUCUUUGAGUGCAGGUUUUGAAGAAUAGCAGAGAAGCCCAAAGUUGAUAAAAUUUGCGGGCUUGCAAGGAUUACACCUUAAACGGUUUGAAUUUCCUUUAAAAAAUUUAGGCGAAACCAUGUCUUUGUAGUAAUAUUUAUUAAAUGAUUUUGAAAAUCUUACAAAGAUUUCAAGCACCCUGCGCAUGACUUCCGAUUAGUCUAAAUAGAUACCUUUUAAUAUUCUGCACAAUUGUUUUCAAAUACUUAAAAUACACAAUACAUGGCUUUUAGGUAUUUUGCAUAUAUGCUCUAAAAGUACCCCGCAUGCACUGCAUAAUUUCCUUAAAUGCACUGCACAUGGCUACAAUGGCUCUGCAUAAGCGCAAAUAUACUGCAUAAUCGCUUUAAAUAGCUUUAAAAUGCACUACACGUGACUUUCAAUUACUUUGCAUAUGUGCUCUAAAAUGCACUGCACAAACAACAACAACAAAAAACCCAGUGUAUUCCCACCUGGUGGGGUCUGGGGGGGUAGGAUGUACGCAGUCCAUACCUCUACCUCUGAAGAAGUAGAAAGGCUGUUUCCGAUAGACCCCCGGCUCAAAUGCUUUAAUAUAUUUUUAAUGCAUUGCACAUGGCUUUACUGGUUUUUGCAUGGGCACAAAUGCACUGCACAAUUGCUUUAAGUUAUUUUGCACUAUGUAUGACUUUCAUUUUCUUUAAGAGCACUGCACAACCACUUUAAGUUAUUUUGCACUAUGCAUGACUUUCAUUUUUUUCUAAAGACACUGUACAAUCGCUUUUAAGUUAUUUCGCAAUAUGCAUGACUUUCAAUUUCUUCUAUAGCACCAAACAAUUGCUUUUAAAUGCACUGCAAAGUUGCUUUCUAAUAACUGCACAAAACUUAUGGAUGCACCAAACAAAUUCUUUAUAGAAAUUCAUUGCUUGCAAAAGUUAUUUUUUAUAAAUCAUUGGUGCAGAGAAAAUCCUCCAUCCGUCAAUCAUUUGGAUGAAAACCCCUAAUCUUCAUAAUUUACUUGGUUUAAGGCCUCAUUUUCAUCGCCGAAAGGCAUCAUUCACAUGAAUCGUUGGCCUAAAACUUUAUUUUUGCAUAAGCUUUAUUUUCGGCUUGCACGACUACAUUUGCAUAGAGUAACACUCGAGGUGUUAUUUUCAUUAAUUCGUUGAAUACAUCUACUAUUUAUGUACUAAUUGCUUUAGCUAGUUUAAGUUUUGCAGGAACCUUAGCACAAACGUGGAACUGUCUCUAAGCAACGAACUAGGGCAAAGCUAGCGGAAUGUCAAGCAUCCUUAGCAGCGGUGACGAUUCAAAGCUCGACUAGACUCAAUUUUCAAAAUUUCUCAUAUAACUUUCUCAAACCUUUUCACAAAUCUAUUCUCAUAUUCCAGUGUCAUCAUAAAUCUAAAACUGGGACAAAUUUUGAGAUUCUCUCAAAAUUUUUUGCAUUACAUAACUUUUGAACUACAGCGACCUGAUUCUCGUGAAACCCCGGGAUAUGUAGGAGACUCAAGAACCAGGGUUUGAUCGAAUUCAUAAUCAUAAUCGUGCCAAUUCUAGCAUCACCGUUCCACCUUUUAGGUGUAGCCUUCCCACCUAUUUAUCAGUCAAAACAAAAUUGGUUUACGUCAACGUCUUUGCCCAAAGAUUCUUUCAUCAUCUUUGGUCUAAGAGGGACAAGUUGUUGACACCCAAUUUUGACCCUCCUUUUUCAUAAAUUUAAUUUCUCGAUGUUUAGGAUGUUGAAUACUUUUCUAAUGUAUUUUCCUUAAUUUUUUACAUUAAUAUUUUGAAAAUGAUAUGUUCCUAUCUUUGCAUCUUAAUAAUUCACUCAAAAAUAAUAAAUAAAUAUAUUUUAAAUUAUCAUUUCACUACCUUUUCUAAAACAUAUAUAUAUAUAUAUAUAUAUGGUAGCGUAUUAACAUAAUCCUUGCUAUAGUAUCUUAUAACGCGUUAAAUUAAUCGAACAAAAUAAGCAUCGUUAAAUUAGUUAAGUGAAAUUGAUUUGAAAAAUUAGAUUGAUUAACUUAUCUGGUUGGGUCAUUUACAUUAGUUAGUUUCAGCCUUUUAAAUCUAACAAUUCGGCCCAACAACCACCAAGAUUCCCAACUCAACUUAAAAAAAAUCCCGACCCGGCCCAAAAACCCUCCUCCUAAACCAGCAAUCACCCCUAACAGCUUGUUUGGAUGGUGGUUUCCCAUGGUAUGGUAUGGUUACCAUGGGAACCAUGUUUGUUUCCAUGGUAUCCUAAAAAUGAUGGUAUGGUUUGGUACUAUUCCAUGGUUUGGGAACUAUGGAAUCCCCCAUUUUUCUGAACCACCAAUUUGGUGGUAUGCCAUGGUUUCCCUCUUUUUCUUCCAAUUAUGCCCCUGUAUAAUUCCCUCCACCCUAUUUUCUUAUUCUUUUUUCUGCUCUUUGCAGUAAUCUCCCAGCAUCUUCAACAGCAACAAAGGCGAGGCUUCUGCUAAAAGCCCAAGAAAAGAAAAACAAUGGCGAGGCUUUUCUUUGCAGUAAGCCCAAGAAAAGAAAAACUUUGGUCCUUCCGAUAAUUCUGCUAAAAAGUGAUCUAAGAGGCUAAGAAUUUCAGUUCAAAAGUUCAAACUUGGAAGGGUACCGAUGGUGAAGUUUACAAGAACAAGAAGGGAAUAGUCAAUUUUAGCAAUAAUCAAAUAGGGGUAUUUUAGUAAAUUUACCUGUUACCAUACAAUACCAUACAAUCAAACCAAACAAAAAAAACUAUUAUUAAACCACAGUGAACGAUACAGUCAAUCCAAACAUGGUAUUGUACUAUACUGCACUGUACUAUACCAUAUCAUACUGUACCAUACAUUAUAAAACCAGGGCAAACCACCAUCCAAACAAGCUGUAAAUCUUCUCAUUCCUCUUAACGUUAAAAUUCAACAAAAACUAAGCUCCCAUCACCUCAAAAACGAUAAAUCCACCUGAUUUGGGGGCUUUUGCCGAGCCAAUAGCUACAAUAGUCUUCUCCAUCACUUCAAGCUCUAAAAAUGAACUCUUUUUUGCUCCUUUUCCCACUUCCCUUUUUCAUUUUUUUGAAUUUUGAAAUUGAGAUUUUUGAAGAAGCCUUUGCAUCCUUUUUGCCUAUAAAAAGGGAGUCUUCUUCAUAAUAAAGGCACCAAGAAAAAAAAAAGGAUUAUCAAAUUAGCAUUUAAAAGAUCGGUAUACUGUUACUCAUUUUGCUGUCGCCCUCUUUCUAAAUUCAGUCGCAAGUCCAAGAUUGAGUUCGAGUUAUAGUUUCCAAUGAGAAAGCCUUAGUUCGCUGCCCCCCACUAGGUAAAUUCUAUCCCGUCUAAUUUUAUUAUAUUUAUCUUUCGAUGAUUCGCUGAUCGUUUUGAGUCUAUUAUUUUCAUUUGGCCAAUCAUAAGCAUAAACCUGAGAUGAAAUAACAUCUGGCUAUCCGAUUUUGUUCGUCGUCUAAUGUUUAUGAAAUAUCUUAUUUCGUGAUUUGGAUUGGAUAUUUUAAAAUCGGAAGUCUCGAUUGAAGUAGACUGCUUUAUCUUGGUUGGCUGUGAAUGCAUAUUUGAAGCACUUAUGUAUCACUUAGUUAUUCGGGUUGUUAACUGUUGGUUUUGAAGAUGAAAAACGUGAAAUAAUAAUCUAUUUUGGCUUUCUGAUUCAUUUAGCUUGGUCACUGCAUGGUUUUGUUUUUGCCUUUAAAUAUGCAAUAAUAUCUAGAUUAGAGUAAACAAUAUGGUUUGGAAAGGUUAUGUCCGGUUGAAAAUAAAGAGUAUGUCGAUCUACUAUGUAAAAUUCAUCUUGUUAUCUCGUCUCUGUCUCUUUCCAGCCCGUCUUGUUGUCUCGUCUCUGUCUCUUUCCAGCCUAUCUGUUCUUGUUCUGUGAAUACGUGACUUAUUUUUGGCUUUAAGCUAAAUUGAUGCUGUUGUCUGGUUUCUGGCAAAUUGAGUUCAAGAACAUGUGUUGCCUUGACUGACCUUUAUCACAACAUACAGUUGUUUUACCUAAAAUACUCUAAAACUUACGAAUUUGCUCUUCCGUCUCACCUUCACCGUCUUUUCUUUUAUCUCGUCUAGAUUUCGUGAACAUGUCAUUUUGGGUGAAUUCCGACCGAAAUUUGAAGGGUUGUUGUAGAAUCUAGAAAAAUGGUGUUGUAUGCAAACAUGUUUUCUGUGAAAUGUUGCUUACCCCGUUUUACUGUAUGUUUUUCACCUUAAGUUUCUGUGGUUUUACUGUAUGUUUCGACCAAAGCAUGUUUUCACCUUAAGUUUCUAUGGUUUUACUGUAUGUGUCCGUUUCGUACCUAAAAUACUCUAUACAUGAAGAACCCACUCCCUUUUGUUGUUUAUUAACAAAUACGAUCUUGUGGAGACAUGGAAGGUUAUGCUCUAUUAGGCACCUUGUUGGUGUGUCCUGUUACUUUCUUUGAGUUAAGGAGCCUAAUGAUUUUCCUCGUUAAUUAUUACUGCCACUUUUUUUCUUUUUUUUUCAAACUUUGUUGUUUCUCAUCUUGUUUCUUUGUUUUCGUUGUUUGUUCUCGGUAAAGUACAGCAACAACAAUGAUAUUAAGUCCUACUCUCUCUACCCUCUCUAACGGCUCUCUCACUCUCUCCCUACCCUCUCUCUCUCGCUCUCGCCUCGCCCCGGUCCACGGCCUUCGGCGCCGACCCGACCAGACCUCCGGCCCCGACCACC